CAAGUUCAAGGGUGUAGGCUGAUAGUUUAGGCAAAUCCGGACUAUCUUAAGGCUGAGACCUGAUGUCGAGUCACUACGGUGAUGAAGUCAUUGAUGCCAUGCUUCCGGGAAAAGCCUCUAAGCGAUAGGUUAUACGUAAUCGUACUCCAAACCGACACAGGUGAUCAGGUAGAGAAUACCAAGGCGCUUGAGAGAACUCGGGUGAAGGAACUAGGCAAAAUGGUACCGUAACUUCGGGAGAAGGUACGCUGCCGACGGUGAUAGGAUUUACUCCUUGAGCUAUUGGCAGCCACAGAAACCAGGCCCCUGCAACUGUUUAUUAAAAACAUAGCACUCUGCAAACACGAAAGUGGACGUAUAGGGUGUGAUGCCUGCCCGGUGCUGGAAGGUUAAUUGAUGGGGUUAGCGUAAGCGAAGCUCUUGAUCGAAGCCCCAGUAAACGGCGGCCGUAACAAUAACGGUCCUAAGGUAGCGAAAUUCCUUGUCGGGUAAGUUCCGACCUGCACGAAUGGCGUAAUGAUGGCCACGCUGUCUCCACCCGAGACUCAGUGAAAUUGAAAUCGCAGUGAAGAUGCUGUGUACCCGCGGCUAGACGGAAAGACCCCGUGAACCUUUACUACAGCUUGGCACUGAACAUUGACCCUACAUGUGUAGGAUAGGUGGGAGCCUUUGAAACCUCGUCGCUAGAUGGGGUGGAGGCAAUCUUGAAAUACCACCCUUGUAUGCUUGAUGUUCUAACGUCGCCCCCUUAUCGGGGGUGCGGACAGUGCCUGGUGGGUAGUUUGACUGGGGCGGUCUCCUCCCAAAGAGUAACGGAGGAGCACGAAGGUGGGCUAAACACGGUUGGACAUCGUGUGGUUAGUGCAAUGGCAUAAGCCCGCUUGACUGCGAGAAUGACAAUUCGAGCAGGUGCGAAAGCAGGUCAUAGUGAUCCGGUGGUUCUGAAUGGAAGGGCCAUCGCUCAACGGAUAAAAGGUACUCUGGGGAUAACAGGCUGAUACCGCCCAAGAGUUCAUAUCGACGGCGGUGUUUGGCACCUCGAUGUCGGCUCAUCACAUCCUGGGGCUGAAGUCGGUCCCAAGGGUAUGGCUGUUCGCCAUUUAAAGUGGUACGCGAGCUGGGUUUAGAACGUCGUGAGACAGUUCGGUCCCUAUCUGCCGUGGGCGUUAGAUGAUUGAGAGGGGCUGCUCCUAGUACGAGAGGACCGGAGUGGACGAACCGCUGGUGUUCGGGUUGUGAUGCCAAUCGCAUUGCCCGGUAGCUACGUUCGGAAUCGAUAAGCGCUGAAAGCAUCUAAGCGCGAAGCGAGCCUCAAGAUGAGUCAUCUCUAGACCUUUAAGGUCUCUAAAGGGUUGUCGAAGACUACGACGUUGAUAGGCAGGGUGUGUAAGUGCUGCGAGGCAUUGAGCUAACCUGUACUAAUUGC
This 1426-nucleotide ribosomal RNA is filed under the name Portunus sanguinolentus (three spot swimming crab). RNAcentral describes it as "bacterial LSU rRNA". It matches the Rfam family "Bacterial large subunit ribosomal RNA", at positions 1507 to 2908 of the family's 2925-position model. Lineage: Eukaryota; Metazoa; Arthropoda; Malacostraca; Decapoda; Portunidae. The record is from RNAcentral.